RNAcentral lists this ribosomal RNA (449 nucleotides) under uncultured bacterium. RNAcentral describes it as "bacterial SSU rRNA". It matches the Rfam family "Bacterial small subunit ribosomal RNA", at positions 329 to 795 of the family's 1533-position model. The record is from RNAcentral.
CUCCAGACUCCUACGGGAGGCAGCAGUGGGGAAUAUUGCACAAUGGGGGAAACCCUGAUGCAGCAACGCCGCGUGAGUGAAGAAGUAUUUCGGUAUGUAAAGCUCUAUCAGCAGGGAAGAAGAUGACGGUACCUGAAUAAGAAGCCCCGGCUAACUACGUGCCAGCAGCCGCGGUAAUACGUAGGGGGCAAGCGUUAUCCGGAUUUACUGGGUGUAAAGGGAGCGUAGACGGCAGUGCAAGUCCGGAGUGAAAGCCCGGGGCUCAACCCUGGGACUGCUCUGGAAACUGUAAAGCUGGAGUGCGGGAGGGGCAGGCGGAAUUCCUGGUGUAGCGGUGAAAUGCGUAGAUAUCAGGAGGAACACCGGCGGCGAAGGCGGCCUGCUGGACCGUAACUGACGUUGAGGCUCGAAAGCGUGGGGAGCAAACAGGAUUAGAUACCCCAGUAGCA